This 83-nucleotide ribosomal RNA is filed under the name Aeromonas hydrophila. RNAcentral describes it as "partial 16S ribosomal RNA". It matches the Rfam family "Bacterial small subunit ribosomal RNA", at positions 1 to 82 of the family's 1533-position model. The record is from RNAcentral. RNAcentral also lists the same sequence under 4 other names. Lineage: Bacteria; Pseudomonadati; Pseudomonadota; Gammaproteobacteria; Aeromonadales; Aeromonadaceae.
AAAUUGAAGAGUUUGAUCAUGGCUCAGAUUGAACGCUGGCGGCAGGCCUAACACAUGCAAGUCGAGCGGCAGCGGGAAAGUAG